RNAcentral lists this ribosomal RNA (253 nucleotides) under uncultured bacterium. RNAcentral describes it as "partial 16S ribosomal RNA". It matches the Rfam family "Bacterial small subunit ribosomal RNA", at positions 524 to 776 of the family's 1533-position model. The record is from RNAcentral.
GACGAACCGUGCGAACGUUAUUCGAAAUCACUGGGCUUAAAGGGCGCGUAGGCGGGCGGCCAAGUCAGAGGUGAAAGCCUCCAGCUCAACUGGAGAAGUGCCUUUGAUACUGGUCGUCUCGAGGGAGAUAGGGGCGUGCGGAACUUCCGGUGGAGCGGUGAAAUGCGUAGAUAUCGGAAGGAACACCGGUGGCGAAAGCGGCGCGCUGGAUCUCUUCUGACGCUGAGGCGCGAAAGCCAGGGGAGCGAACGGG